Molecule: long non-coding RNA, 1854 nt
Organism: Mirounga angustirostris (Northern elephant seal)
Lineage: Eukaryota; Metazoa; Chordata; Mammalia; Carnivora; Phocidae
Exons: 3
Source: RefSeq, a predicted model, not a curated record
GCUCUGGGGGAUUAUAUGCAGCUAGUCAGUCUGCUUUCUGGGGCAGGCUUGGGAGUGGGGAGGGAGGGCAAGGGUCCUCACCACGGGGUAAGCACGGCCCUGUGGCUCUGUCUGCUGGUGCGGCCCAGCGACGACCUGCCCUGUCAGCUCUGACAGAGCCAAGGACAAACACAGGCCUGUCACUGAUGGAGCCUGCAUCCUGUGGCUGCUGAUUCCUUUCCAGCUUUCGGUAUUGACUUUGGUCCUCUUCCCGGUUCCCAGUAGAGAGGCCUCCCCUCCUCCCCAGGAACCCCCGGUUCUCACUGCCCUAUCCAAAGGCAGAGCGGGUGGUGGCCUGAAAUCCCACCAGGAGGGCCCCACAUCCAAGUCCCCAACACUCACAGGUGGGGGAAGCCGACCUCUCACGGACUCAGCAGCACACGAAGGAGAAGGCACCCCCGAGGAGGCUGGGAUGUGAAAACGGAGAGUGGCUGACGGUCAUGGGCCUGGGGCUUGCCAAGCCUGCACUCGGCCAAUCCCUCAGCAGCCCCUUUUACAGGAAGCGAAAAGAUGGGUGCAAUGACGAAGCUGUUUGCCCAAGAUCUUGUAGCAGAGGUUUCCGGACCAAAAGCACUGAACCAGCCACUGUCAGCAGAAGUGGACUCACACCCUCAACUUGUGAAGAAGGCACCAACCCCGUGUCUGCAAAGGCAACACAGAAAAAAGAAAAAAAAUCCGCCUCGAAAAACGCCAGGCUUCAUGUAUCAGCAUAUUCACUCCUUCAGCCCGGCAAUUUGAUUUCUGGGAAUUACCCCGAAGAAAUCCUCUGGAUGAGAAAGCAGCUGUGUGUGGUGGGAAAGACCACGAGGCUCCUUAUCUCAGAGAAGAACAGAAAUAACCCCAAGAUGCAGUGAAGGAAUGGGUGAGGGGAAUACUGGACAACACUGAUGUAAUAUUGCAGAGCUGUUCAAAAGAGGCUCACAGGGGCACCUGGGUGGCUCAGUCGUUAAGCGUCUGCCUUUGGCUCAGGUCAUGAUCCCGGGUUCCUGGAUCGAGUCCCGCAUGGGGCUCCUGCUCGGCGGGAAGCCUGCUUCUCUCUCUGCCUCUGCCUGCCCCUCCCCCUGCUUGGGCGCUCUCCCUCUCUCUCUCUCUAAUAACUAAAUAAAAUCUUAAAAAAAAAAAAAAGAUGCUCACAAUGCAUUAAUGGUCAUCUGAGGAACGUUUCUAGUGACGGCAUAUCAUCACAUUUAAGACACCAUUGAUUGUAAGACGUGCCACAAUUUCAUGUAUCAGGAAGGAAGAAAAAAUACCCAGGAUGGGUUAUCUAACAACGGGCAUCUAAGUAGCUAGGACCCCAAGGGACUAUUCCCUAAAUGCAUGGGGGAUGAAAAACAGCCCUUUCCAGGCAGAAAGUAUGUCUCAUCCUCGCCCUGGGUGCAGGGAGGAAACAAAAUCGCCCUUGAGAAUGUGAAGAAGCCCGUACCCAUACAGGUUGGAGUCUGAAUUUGCACUACAGACGUGGUCUCCAAACACCUCCAGCGAAAGCUGAAAAUUUAAAUUUAAUGUAAAGUCUGCUCAAGUUGGCAGUGCCCCCAGGAGACUGUCAGAAGCAAUACGAACCCCCUUUGGAAGAGGUGAAUUUCAAGAGGCUGACGGCGCCUGGAAAACCAUCCGUUGUGUGGUGCAAGAUCCAGAGAUGUUAGAAUGUGAAGAUAAGCCAGUCUUAGAAUUGAUGUUAAACAAAAAGCAGAAUAAAAUGGCAUGUGGGCAAUGAUAUGUCAUUGCAGAGAUGACCAACUGGAAGGAAAUACACUAAAAUGUUAACUGUGGUUUUCUGUAGUUGUAACACUAGAACUUUUUUUUCUUUAAAUGACU